GUGGGGAAUCUUCCGCAAUGGACGAAAGUCUGACGGAGCAACGCCGCGUGAACGAUGACGGCCUUCGGGUUGUAAAGUUCUGUUAUACGGGACGAAUGGUACGACGGCCAAUACCCGUCGUAAGUGACGGUACCGUAAGAGAAAGCCACGGCUAACUACGUGCCAGCAGCCGCGGUAAUACGUAGGUGGCAAGCGUUGUCCGGAAUUAUUGGGCGUAAAGGGCGCGCAGGCGGCGUCGUAAGUCGGUCUUAAAAGUGCGGGGCUUAACCCCGUGAGGGGACCGAAACUGCGAUGCUAGAGUAUCGGAGAGGAAAGCGGAAUUCCUAGUGUAGCGGUGAAAUGCGUAGAUAUUAGGAGGAACACCAGUGGCGAAAGCGGCUUUCUGGACGACAACUGACGCUGAGGCGCGAAAGCCAGGGGAGCAAACGGGAUUAGAUACCCCAGUAGUCC
RNAcentral lists this ribosomal RNA (450 nucleotides) under uncultured bacterium. RNAcentral's name for it is "partial 16S ribosomal RNA". It matches the Rfam family "Bacterial small subunit ribosomal RNA", at positions 354 to 796 of the family's 1533-position model. The record is from RNAcentral.